UACGUAGGGGGCAAGCGUUGUCCGGAUUUAUUGGGCGUAAAGAGCGUGUAGGCGGCCAGGUAGGUCCGUUGUGAAAACUCGAGGCUCAACCUCGGGACGUCGGCGGAAACCCUCUGGCUAGAGUCCGGAAGAGGAGAGUGGAAUUCCUGGUGUAGCGGUGAAAUGCGCAGAUAUCAGGAAGAACACCCGUGGCGAAGGCGGCUCUCUGGGACGGUACUGACGCUGAGACGCGAAAGCGUGGGGAGCAAACAGG
This 253-nucleotide ribosomal RNA is filed under the name uncultured bacterium. RNAcentral describes it as "partial 16S ribosomal RNA". It matches the Rfam family "Bacterial small subunit ribosomal RNA", at positions 524 to 776 of the family's 1533-position model. The record is from RNAcentral.